This 497-nucleotide ribosomal RNA is filed under the name uncultured bacterium. Its description in RNAcentral is "partial 16S ribosomal RNA". It matches the Rfam family "Bacterial small subunit ribosomal RNA", at positions 28 to 507 of the family's 1533-position model. The record is from RNAcentral.
GAUGAACGCUGGCGGCGUGCCUAAUACAUGCCAGUCGAGUGAACAGACGAGGAGCUUGCUCCUUCGACGUUAGCGGCGGACGGGUGAGUAACACGUAGGUAACCUACCUAUAAGACUGGGAUAACUUCGGGAAACCGGAGCUAAUACCGGAUAAUAUUUCGAACCGCAUGGUUCGAUAGUGAAAGAUGGCUUUGCUAUCACUUAUAGAUGGACCUGCGCCGUAUUAGCUAGUUGGUAAGGUAACGGCUUACCAAGGCAACGAUACGUAGCCGACCUGAGAGGGUGAUCGGCCACACUGGAACUGAGACACGGUCCAGACUCCUACGGGAGGCAGCAGUAGGGAAUCUUCCGCAAUGGGCGAAAGCCUGACGGAGCAACGCCGCGUGAGUGAUGAAGGUCUUCGGAUCGUAAAACUCUGUUAUUAGGGAAGAACAAACGUGUAAGUAACUGUGCACGUCUUGACGGUACCUAAUCAGAAAGCCACGGCUAACUACGUG